RNAcentral lists this transfer RNA (84 nucleotides) under Gemmataceae bacterium. Its description in RNAcentral is "tRNA-Leu". It matches the Rfam family "tRNA". From Rfam's summary of the family: Transfer RNA (tRNA) molecules are approximately 80 nucleotides in length. Their secondary structure includes four short double-helical elements and three loops (D, anti-codon, and T loops). Lineage: Bacteria; Pseudomonadati; Planctomycetota; Planctomycetia; Gemmatales; Gemmataceae. The record is from RNAcentral.
GCCGAAGUGGCGGAACUGGCAGACGCGCUAGCUUCAGGAGCUAGUUCUCGUAAGGGAGUGGAGGUUCGAGUCCUCUCUUCGGCA